Solanum stenotomum is the source of this 2806-nucleotide long non-coding RNA. RefSeq lists it as uncharacterized. The record is from RefSeq and is a predicted model, not a curated record. The transcript is spliced from 5 exons. NCBI's taxonomy places the organism in Eukaryota, Viridiplantae, Streptophyta, Magnoliopsida, Solanales, Solanaceae.
UACCAGACACAAUUUUUUCUUGGGAUAUAGGGGUUAACGCCAGUUACAUUUCGGACAAUCAUGAUAAUGAGAACUACCGAAUCAAAAUUUCUGAAUCGUGACUACAAAGUCUUAGAAGAGCAUGACUGAUGGUAGUUAUCUCAGUAUGAAGUUGGUGCCACACUGUUAUCCAUGAUUGGAUUGGACCCUGCUGAUACUUUUGGAUCUUGCUAGGAAGCACAGUUCUUUGCAAUUAUUCAUGUUGGUUUAUCAAUCUGUUGAGGUGCAGCAUACCAGGGUCUUCCCCAACAGUUGGAGACAUCUGUUAAUGGAGUGCUACUUUUCGAGGAGAGAAGAAGACUAUUGACAAUGAUGAGACAAUUGGAAUAACAAGGACAGCACUAUGUACCUCUAUUCUCUUCUUUUGUAUCAAUCCUGGGCUUAGGAUAUUUCGUGAACUCAGGCAGACUACUGACUAGGAGUGCAACAAGAGAAGCAUAAAAAACUUAAUGGUCUUCUAGUGACUAUUUAGUUAUGAACACCUAUUUUCUUUUGGUACAUUUCUGGCAACUUUGAAGGAAUGGAAAUUACCAAAUAAGAAAGUUCUGAAUAUAUUUGAGCAGAGUGAGGCAGAGGUAGUUAUCCCAGUAUGAAGAUGUUGGACAGUUGGCCCCCGAUUGGAGCGUACUAAUAUUGCUGGAUCCAACUAGAGAGACGCUAAUUAACAUCUAUUCAUGGAGUGCUUAAUUGCUUCUAGUCUAUUGAUAUUGUCCCCAUGAUUUUCCCUGUAUCUCUACCUUCAAGUAGGUAGUGGUUCAGGUUCUUUAUGAAUGUCAGUAUUUUAUUGGCAGGAAUUUGCAGCUAUAUAGUAUCUUGACAGUCUUAUACAUUUUUCUCUAUGCUAAAAUUUCAUUUUCUGUUGCAUUAGCAGAAGACAUUGUCUAGAUUGUUUUCACCUGUCAUGGAUACUCGAACAAUGCAAUGGCAAUCUGAGAACUCAACUCAACCCGUUCUUGUAUGGAUGCCUCUUUUUUUUCUCCUCACUCAGGACUCAGGAGAGUAGAAGACUAUGUUGACAAUGAUGAGGAAAUCGGAAUAAAGAGGACAACAGUAUGUACGUCUAUUUUCUACUUUGGUAUCAACUUUACUUGGCUUCUGGUAAUCGUGUUUGGUACAUUCCUAGCUUUGUUAUAGAUUCAAUAAUGUCAUGGAGAUUCCAGCUUCUUCAAGUCGUCAAGUCAACUAUUCAAAUCGUUGAUCUAUGUUUUCACUUUAAGAUAUAUCACGUCUUCAAGCACACGGAGUUUGCAUGAAUUUAGUUUGAGAUCAAUUGUUGCAAGGCAGACUUUAGGGACUGGAAAUACAAUAAAGAGAAGCAUUACUAACUUACUGGCCUUCUAGUGAGAAGUACAAGACCAUUUUAUACGGUAUUCAACACUCUUUUGAGAUAGUUGAUGCUGCAUACAUUUCAUAGAACUUUGAUCUGCAUGGGAAUCACAAAGCAAAAUUUCUGAAUCAUGACGAGGAAUUUGAAGUGAACGAGGCUAAUAGCUAACUUAAUAAGAAGAUGAUGCCAUGCUGACAGUUAACCAGGGAUUGGAGCCUGCAAAAACUGUUUGAUCGAACUAGAUGAAGCACUACAUAGUGACUUCCAUAGGAUGCUUUUCAGUCUAUUGAGGAGUUAAGCUAUAUAACAAUGUCUUAACAUUUGGAGAUGACUGGUUAAACUGCUUAUGCAGUGCUAUUUUUCAGGGUAGAGCUUUGGGUUGUUCCUUUUUCUCUUAUAUUUCUACACUAAAGCUUCAUGAAUGACAUACAGGAGUGUGAUGGGAUAGAUAUACAUGGCUGCAUCCAACACAUUCUCUUCCCAUAUCUUUUCCUUUCAGAACUUGCUCUCUGUCUUAUGCUGCAAUUUCAUAUAUUUUCCUCUAAUUUUAAUUUCUCAGAAAGUGUAUUUCUUGCAGAAGACCUCAUCUGGACUGUUUUACUCCUGUUACUGUUAUUCAAACAAGGCAAUGGUGCGUCCUUCGACUCAGUCAAAUCAUGUUGUAUGAUUGGCCCUCCUUUUUUUUAGUUGGCUUUCAAUCAGGAGAGCAGAGAACUGUACAAAAUGGAGAGAGACACUCGGAGUAACGAGAGAGGACCAUCUUAAGAUUUGAUUAAGUAAUGUUGUGGAGCCUCCCAUGUUGCAUCUUCACACUCUCAACUAUUCAAAUCUUUGAUCUAUUUUCCCGUUUAGGAUACUUUGCAAUCUGUAUGUAGUUUUACAUGAAUCUAUAAUCAAUCGCAUUGAGGCAGACUUUACUGACUGAAAGCUUGACAAGAGAAAAGCACAACAAACUCACUAGUCUUCCAGUGACAGUUUGAAGGCUAUUUGAUAACGAGAACUGCUUGCAUUUCAGACAUCCUUGAUCAGAAUGGGAGUGAAUCAAAAUUUCUGGAUCUUGACAAGGUAUUUGAGCAGAAUGAAGCUCUGAUGGUACUUAUCCCAGUAUGAAGCUGAUGCCCUUGAUCCAGCUAGGGAAAGAGAUACUAGUUAGCAACUAUUCAUGACAUCCUAGUUUGUUUUACACCUGCAAUGGUGAUACGAGUCGUCCAACUAUCGGAUUAGGAAUGUGAAGGCUUGUUCAGAAUGAGACCGGAGAAAGAAAGAGCUAUACUAUUGAUCAGACAUCUUUUGUCUCAGUUUAAAUUGCUCAAUUCAUGAUUGAUGAAUCCCAAAGUCCAAUUCAUGUUGAAUAUUGUGAAACCUUUCAGUAAAUGUUUAAGCAUUUUCGACAAGUUGUGAUCUCAACCUUUCUAUUACAUGUUCUAUAUUGGAUUUUAU